This 253-nucleotide ribosomal RNA is filed under the name uncultured bacterium. RNAcentral describes it as "partial 16S ribosomal RNA". It matches the Rfam family "Bacterial small subunit ribosomal RNA", at positions 524 to 776 of the family's 1533-position model. The record is from RNAcentral.
CACGUAGGGCGCGAGCGUUGUCCGGAAUUAUUGGGCGUAAAGAGCUCGUAGGCGGCCUGUUGCGUCCGCUGUGAAAGCCCGGGGCUUAACCCCGGGUCGGCAGUGGAUACGGGCAGGCUAGAGGUAGGUAGGGGAGAAUGGAAUUCCCGGUGUAGCGGUGAAAUGCGCAGAUAUCGGGAGGAACACCGGUGGCGAAGGCGGUUCUCUGGGCCUUACCUGACGCCGAGGAGCGAAAGCGUGGGGAGCGAACAGG